Molecule: ribosomal RNA, 2431 nt
Filed under: Listeria monocytogenes
Lineage: Bacteria; Bacillati; Bacillota; Bacilli; Caryophanales; Listeriaceae
Description: partial 23S ribosomal RNA
Rfam family: Bacterial large subunit ribosomal RNA
Source: RNAcentral
GUACCGUGAGGGAAAGGUGAAAAGCACCCCGGAAGGGGAGUGAAACAGUUCCUGAAACCGUGUGCCUACAAGUAGUUAGAGCCCGUUAAUGGGUGAUAGCGUGCCUUUUGUAGAAUGAACCGGCGAGUUACGAUUUGUUGCAAGGUUAAGCGGAAAAAGCGGAGCCGUAGCGAAAGCGAGUCUGAAUAGGGCGCAUAAGUAACAGGUCGUAGACCCGAAACCAGGUGAUCUACCCAUGUCCAGGAUGAAGGUAAGGUAAUACUUACUGGAGGUCCGAACCCACGCACGUUGAAAAGUGCGGGGAUGAGGUGUGGGUAGCGGAGAAAUUCCAAUCGAACUUGGAGAUAGCUGGUUCUCUCCGAAAUAGCUUUAGGGCUAGCCUCGAGGUAAAGAGUCAUGGAGGUAGAGCACUGUUUGGACUAGGGGCCCUUCUCGGGUUACCGAAUUCAGAUAAACUCCGAAUGCCAUGUACUUAUACUCGGGAGUCAGACUGCGAGUGAUAAGAUCCGUAGUCGAAAGGGAAACAGCCCAGACCACCAGUUAAGGUCCCCAAAUAUAUGUUAAGUGGAAAAGGAUGUGGGGUUGCUUAGACAACCAGGAUGUUGGCUUAGAAGCAGCCACCAUUGAAAGAGUGCGUAAUAGCUCACUGGUCGAGUGACCCCGCGCCGAAAAUGUACCGGGGCUAAACAUAUUACCGAAACUGUGGAUGAACCUCUUUAGAGGUUCGUGGUAGGAGAGCGUUCUAAGGGCGGUGAAGUCAGACCGGAAGGACUGGUGGAGCGCUUAGAAGUGAGAAUGCCGGUAUGAGUAGCGAAAGAAGGGUGAGAAUCCCUUCCACCGAAUAUCUAAGGUUUCCUGAGGAAGGCUCGUCCGCUCAGGGUUAGUCGGGACCUAAGCCGAGGCCGAUAGGCGUAGGCGAUGGACAACAGGUAGAGAUUCCUGUACCAGUGCUAAUUGUUUAACCGAUGGGGUGACACAGAAGGAUAGGGAAUCGCACGAAUGGAAAUGUGCGUCCAAGCAGUGAGUGUGAGAAGUAGGCAAAUCCGCUUCUCGCGAAGCAUGAGCUGUGAUGGGGAAGGAAAUUAAGUACGGAAGUUCCUGAUUUCACGCUGUCAAGAAAAGCCUCUAGGAAGAGUAGUACUGCCCGUACCGCAAACCGACACAGGUAGAUGAGGAGAGAAUCCUAAGGUGAGCGAGAGAACUCUCGUUAAGGAACUCGGCAAAAUGACCCCGUAACUUCGGGAGAAGGGGUGCUCUAUUAGGGUGCAAGCCCGAGAGAGCCGCAGUGAAUAGGCCCAGGCGACUGUUUAGCAAAAACACAGGUCUCUGCAAAACCGUAAGGUGACGUAUAGGGGCUGACGCCUGCCCGGUGCUGGAAGGUUAAGAGGAGUGCUUAGCUUCGGCGAAGGUACGAAUUGAAGCCCCAGUAAACGGCGGCCGUAACUAUAACGGUCCUAAGGUAGCGAAAUUCCUUGUCGGGUAAGUUCCGACCCGCACGAAAGGCGCAACGAUCUGGGCACUGUCUCAACGAGAGACUCGGUGAAAUUAUAGUACCUGUGAAGAUGCAGGUUACCCGCGACAGGACGGAAAGACCCCGUGGAGCUUUACUGCAACCUGAUAUGGAAUGUUUGUACCGCUUGUACAGGAUAGGUAGGAGCCGAAGAGACGUGUGCGCUAGCAUACGAGGAGGCAAUGGUGGGAUACUACCCUGGCUGUAUGACCAUUCUAACCCGCCACGCUUAGCGCGUGGGGAGACAGUGUCAGGUGGGCAGUUUGACUGGGGCGGUCGCCUCCUAAAGAGUAACGGAGGCGCCCAAAGGUUCCCUCAGAAUGGAUGGAAAUCAUUCGCAGAGUGUAAAGGCACAAGGGAGCUUGACUGCGAGACUGACAAGUCGAGCAGGGACGAAAGUCGGGCUUAGUGAUCCGGUGGUUCCGCAUGGAAGGGCCAUCGCUCAACGGAUAAAAGCUACCCCGGGGAUAACAGGCUUAUCUCCCCCAAGAGUCCACAUCGACGGGGAGGUUUGGCACCUCGAUGUCGGCUCGUCGCAUCCUGGGGCUGUAGUCGGUCCCAAGGGUUGGGCUGUUCGCCCAUUAAAGCGGCACGCGAGCUGGGUUCAGAACGUCGUGAGACAGUUCGGUCCCUAUCCGUCGCGGGCGCAGGAAAUUUGAGAGGAGCUGUCCUUAGUACGAGAGGACCGGGAUGGACACACCGCUGGUGUACCAGUUGUUCCGCCAGGAGCAUCGCUGGGUAGCUAUGUGUGGCAGGGAUAAACGCUGAAAGCAUCUAAGCGUGAAGCCCCCCUCAAGAUGAGAUUUCCCAUUUCUUCGGAAAGUAAGAUCCCUGAAAGAUGAUCAGGUAGAUAGGUUUGGAGUGGAAGUGUAGCGAUACAUGGAGCGGACAAAUACUAAUCGAUCGAGGACUUAACCAAAA